Molecule: non-coding RNA, 317 nt
Organism: Felis catus (domestic cat)
Lineage: Eukaryota; Metazoa; Chordata; Mammalia; Carnivora; Felidae
Rfam family: 7SK RNA
About the family: 7SK was discovered as an abundant small nuclear RNA in the mid-70s but a possible function has only recently been suggested. Two independent studies have found that 7SK RNA binds the CDK9/cyclin T complex (known as elongation factor P-TEFb). P-TEFb activates transcription by phosphorylating the C-terminal domain of RNA polymerase II.
Source: Rfam
GGAUGUGAGGGCGAUCUGGCUGCGACAUCUGUCACCCCGUUGAUCGCCAGGGUUGAUGCGGCUGAUCUGACUGGCCAGGCGGGUGUCCCCUUCCUCCCUCACCGUUCCGUGUGCGUCCCUCCCGAAGCUGCGCACUCUAUUGAAGAGGACGGCCUUCCCCAAUAGAGGAGGACCGUUCUUCGGUCAAGGGUAUGCAGGUAGCUGUGCUCCCCUGCUAGAGCCUCCAAACAAGCUCUCAGGAACAUCUUCAAACUUUUGUGUAAAUGUUAAUUUUUGUGCUGCUUCCAUUUCUAGUAGCGGCUGCCACGCUGCAGAAU